The sequence is a small nucleolar RNA, 155 nucleotides long. Its record names the gene SNORA72. It matches the Rfam family "Small nucleolar RNA SNORA72". Rfam says of the family: U72 is a member of the H/ACA class of snoRNAs. The snoRNA gene is located in intron 4 of the ribosomal L30 protein gene in human, mouse and chicken. The record is from Ensembl.
AUGAAAAUUAUUUUGCUGCAAGUAUUCAUCCCAGAGUCAGAUUGAGAAUAAAAAUGCAUAUUGACAGGCUAAACAUUCCUUAUAUUAAGCCCAUGCUUGUGUGCCCAGACCUAGUUCUUUACCUAGGUCUGGUUUUAUAAAUGCUGGUGAUAAAC